This 468-nucleotide ribosomal RNA is filed under the name uncultured bacterium. RNAcentral's name for it is "partial 16S ribosomal RNA". It matches the Rfam family "Bacterial small subunit ribosomal RNA", at positions 28 to 507 of the family's 1533-position model. The record is from RNAcentral.
GACGAACGCUGGCGGCGUGCUUAACACAUGCAAGUCGAACGGAAAGGCCCUGCUUUUGUGGGGUGCUCGAGUGGCGAACGGGUGAGUAACACGUGAGUAACCUGCCCUUGACUUUGGGAUAACUUCAGGAAACUGGGGCUAAUACCGGAUAGGAGCUCCUGCUGCAUGGUGGGGGUUGGAAAGUUUCGGCGGUUGGUGAUGGACUCGCGUCUUAUCAGCUUGUUGGUGGGGUAGUGGCUUACCAAGGCUUGGAGGGGUAGCCGGCCUGAGAGGGUGACCGGCAAAAUGGGGAAGGAAAAACGGCCGAGACCCAGAGGGGAGCAGCAGGGGGGGAAUAUGGAAAAAGGGGGGGAAGCUGGAAGCAGCACCGCGGGGGGGGGGAGGAGGGCCUGGGGGUUGAACACCGUUUGCGCCGGGGGGGAGGGGGGAGGGAGGGAAGGGGGUAAAGAAGCCCGGGCAAACUACGUC